UAGGGAAUCUUCGGCAAUGGACGAAAGUCUGACCGAGCAACGCCGCGUGAGUGAAGAAGGUUUUCGGAUCGUAAAACUCUGUUGUUAGAGAAGAACAAGGACGUUAGUAACUGAACGUCCCCUGACGGUAUCUAACCAGAAAGCCACGGCUAACUACGUGCCAGCAGCCGCGGUAAGACGUAGGUGGCAAGCGUUGUCCGGAUUUAUUGGGCGUAAAGCGAGCGCAGGCGGUUUCUUAAGUCUGACGUGAAAGCCCCCGGCUCAACCGGGGAGGGUCAUUGGAAACUGGGAGACUUGAGUGCAGAAGAGGAGAGUGGAAUUCCAUGUGUAGCGGUGAAAUGCGUAGAUAUAUGGAGGAACACCAGUGGCGAAGGCGGCUCUCUGGUCUGUAACUGACGCUGAGGCUCGAAAGCGUGGGGAGCAAACAGG
This 429-nucleotide ribosomal RNA is filed under the name Gemmatimonadota bacterium. RNAcentral describes it as "Gemmatimonadetes bacterium partial 16S ribosomal RNA". It matches the Rfam family "Bacterial small subunit ribosomal RNA", at positions 355 to 776 of the family's 1533-position model. Lineage: Bacteria; Pseudomonadati; Gemmatimonadota. The record is from RNAcentral.